UACGUAGGUGGCGAGCGUUGUCCGGAUUUACUGGGCGUAAAGAGCGCGCAGGCGGCUGGUCAAGUCCGAUGUGAAAGCUCCCGGCUUAACUGGGAAAUUGCAUCGGAAACUGAUCGGCUGGAAGGUGGGAGAGGGUAGCGGAAUUCCCGGUGUAGUGGUGAAAUGCGUAGAUAUCGGGAGGAACACCAGUGGCGAAAGCGGCCUGCUGGGCAGUAGCUGACACUGAGGCGCGACAGCGUGGGGAGCAAACAGG
This 253-nucleotide ribosomal RNA is filed under the name uncultured bacterium. Its description in RNAcentral is "partial 16S ribosomal RNA". It matches the Rfam family "Bacterial small subunit ribosomal RNA", at positions 524 to 776 of the family's 1533-position model. The record is from RNAcentral.